UGGCAAUGAUGGGGGCAAUCCCUGAGUAGAUUUUUAUAGCACUCCCAAGCUUGACUGAGAGUUUCACCACACCCCUGUUGCAAAACUGACUAUUUGACUUCUUAAUGA
Non-coding RNA from Capsicum annuum, 108 nucleotides. Lineage: Eukaryota; Viridiplantae; Streptophyta; Magnoliopsida; Solanales; Solanaceae. The record is from Rfam.